GACGAACGCUGGCGGCAUGCCUAAUACAUGCAAGUCGAACGAAGUUAUGCGAGAAGCUUGCUUUUCAAUUAGCUUAGUGGCGGACGGGUGAGUAACACGUAGGCAACCUGCCUGUAAGCCGGGGAUAACUCACGGAAACGUGAGCUAAGACUGGAUAGUCGAGAGGAAGGCAUCUUCUUCUUGGGAAAGACGGAGCAAUCUGUCGCUUACAGAUGGGCCUGCGGCGCAUUAGCUAGUUGGUGAGGUAACGGCUCACCAAGGCGACGAUGCGUAGCCGACCUGAGAGGGUGAACGGCCACACUGGGACGUGAGACACGGCCCAGACUCCUACGGGAGGCAGCAGUAGGGAAUCUUCGGCAAUGGACGCAAGUCUGACCGAGCAAUGCCGCGUGAGUGAGGAAGGCCCUCGGGUCGUAAAGCUCGUGUUACCAGGGAAGAACGCUUGCGAGAGUAACGUGCUCGUAAGGUGACGGUACCUGAGAAGAAAGCCCCGCUAACU
This 499-nucleotide ribosomal RNA is filed under the name uncultured bacterium. Its description in RNAcentral is "bacterial SSU rRNA". It matches the Rfam family "Bacterial small subunit ribosomal RNA", at positions 28 to 502 of the family's 1533-position model. The record is from RNAcentral.